RNAcentral lists this ribosomal RNA (593 nucleotides) under uncultured Planctomycetota bacterium. RNAcentral's name for it is "bacterial SSU rRNA". It matches the Rfam family "Bacterial small subunit ribosomal RNA", at positions 782 to 1362 of the family's 1533-position model. The record is from RNAcentral. Lineage: Bacteria; Pseudomonadati; Planctomycetota.
AUACCCCGGUAGUCCUGGCCCUAAACGAUGUCCACUAGGUCGGUGGUUCUCUGACGGAUCACUGGCCGAAACAAAAGCGAUAAGUGGACCGCCUGGGGAGUACGGUCGCAAGGCUAAAACUCAAAGGAAUUGACGGGGGCUCACACAAGCGGUGGAGUAUGUUGCUCAAUUCGAUGCAACGCGAAGAACCUUAUCCUGGGCUUGACAUGUAGGAGCCUCUACCCGGAAACGGAAUAGAGUUGCCCUUCGGGGUGUAAGCCUACACAGGUGCUGCAUGGCUGUCGUCAGCUCGUGUCGUGAGAUGUCGGGUUAAGUCCCAUAACGAGCGGAACCCUUGUCGCUAGUUGCCAGCGGGUCAUGCCGGGGACUCUAGCGAGACUGCCGGUGUCAAACCGGAGGAAGGCGGGGAUGACGUCAAGUCCUCAUGGCCUUUAUGCCCAGGGCUGCAAACGUACUACAAUGGUCGCUACAAACCGAAGCAAGACCGCGAGGUGGAGCAAAUCGGAGAAAAGCGGCCCCAGUUCAGAUUGGAGUCUGCAACUCGACUCCAUGAAGUUGGAAUCGCUAGUAAUCGCGGAUCAGCUAUGCCGCGG